This is a non-coding RNA of Termitomyces sp. T159_Od127, 85 nucleotides long. The record is from the annotation of a GenBank genome assembly. Lineage: Eukaryota; Fungi; Basidiomycota; Agaricomycetes; Agaricales; Lyophyllaceae.
GGCGGGUUAGCGUAAUGGUUAACGCGUCAGUUUCCGGUAUGCGGAAUUUAGCUGAAGAUUCCGGGUUCGAGUCCCGGACCUGUCG